Molecule: non-coding RNA, 97 nt
Organism: Kocuria marina
Lineage: Bacteria; Bacillati; Actinomycetota; Actinomycetes; Micrococcales; Micrococcaceae
Source: Rfam
GGCAGCCCCUCGUGUGGCGCCAUCUCGUAAAACUCCCCCAGGACCGGAAGGUAGCAAGGGUAUAUGGGCUCUGGCGGGUGCACGGGGGGUCUUUUCG